RNAcentral lists this ribosomal RNA (857 nucleotides) under Arthrobacter globiformis. RNAcentral describes it as "bacterial SSU rRNA". It matches the Rfam family "Bacterial small subunit ribosomal RNA", at positions 56 to 924 of the family's 1533-position model. The record is from RNAcentral. Lineage: Bacteria; Bacillati; Actinomycetota; Actinomycetes; Micrococcales; Micrococcaceae.
UGCAAGUCGAACGAUGAUCCGGUGCUUGCACCGGGGAUUAGUGGCGAACGGGUGAGUAACACGUGAGUAACCUGCCCUUGACUCUGGGAUAAGCCUGGGAAACUGGGUCUAAUACCGGAUAUGACUCCUCAUCGCAUGGUGGGGGGUGGAAAGCUUUUGCGGUUUUGGAUGGACUCGCGGCCUAUCAGCUUGUUGGUGAGGUAAUGGCUCACCAAGGCGACGACGGGUAGCCGGCCUGAGAGGGUGACCGGCCACACUGGGACUGAGACACGGCCCAGACUCCUACGGGAGGCAGCAGUGGGGAAUAUUGCACAAUGGGCGAAAGCCUGAUGCAGCGACGCCGCGUGAGGGAUGACGGCCUUCGGGUUGUAAACCUCUUUCAGUAGGGAAGAAGCGAAAGUGACGGUACCUGCAGAAGAAGCGCCGGCUAACUACGUGCCAGCAGCCGCGGUAAUACGUAGGGCGCAAGCGUUAUCCGGAAUUAUUGGGCGUAAAGAGCUCGUAGGCGGUUUGUCGCGUCUGCCGUGAAAGUCCGGGGCUCAACUCCGGAUCUGCGGUGGGUACGGGCAGACUAGAGUGAUGUAGGGGAGACUGGAAUUCCUGGUGUAGCGGUGAAAUGCGCAGAUAUCAGGAGGAACACCGAUGGCGAAGGCAGGUCUCUGGGCAUUAACUGACGCUGAGGAGCGAAAGCAUGGGGAGCGAACAGGAUUAGAUACCCUGGUAGUCCAUGCCGUAAACGUUGGGCACUAGGUGUGGGGGACAUUCCACGUUUUCCGCGCCGUAGCUAACGCAUUAAGUGCCCCGCCUGGGGAGUACGGCCGCAAGGCUAAAACUCAAAGGAAUUGACGGGGGCCCGC